Long non-coding RNA from Symsagittifera roscoffensis, 349 nucleotides. RefSeq lists it as uncharacterized. Lineage: Eukaryota; Metazoa; Xenacoelomorpha; Acoela; Convolutidae. The record is from RefSeq and is a predicted model, not a curated record. The transcript is spliced from 3 exons.
UUAAUAUUCGUCAAAAUUCUAAAUUCCAUUCUAAAUUCUAGAUUUCCAUCUUCGUCAAAAAUAAGCUCAAGAAAAAAACUUCAUGUCUCUGCUGGUUCUCGGCCUUGCGUUUGGGUUUGUCAGCAAAACAGUGGGAGCUUGGGAACAAGUAGAUAACGAUGAAACCUGUCCGCCCGAAUACGAUGAUUUCUGUUUCAAUGGAGGCACUUGUUUUUAUCGUACUAUGAAUUCUGUGAAGUUCAUUGGAUGCUACUGUCCGCUGCACACGCAAGGGCGUCAAUGUGAAGAGUAUGACCCCAGAUAGCUGUCAGGUUCUCAUUCAUCGAUCAUGCUGAGCUACUGAUAUCAC